UGGGAACGUGCCUUUUGGUUCGGAACAACACAGGGAAACUUGUGCUAAUACCGGAUAAGCCCUUACGGGGAAAGAUUUAUCGCCAAAAGAUCGGCCCGCGUCUGAUUAGCUAGUUGGUGGGGUAAUGGCUCACCAAGGCGACGAUCAGUAGCUGGUCUGAGAGGAUGAUCAGCCACAUUGGGACUGAGACACGGCCCAAACUCCUACGGGAGGCAG
RNAcentral lists this ribosomal RNA (216 nucleotides) under uncultured bacterium. Its description in RNAcentral is "partial 16S ribosomal RNA". It matches the Rfam family "Bacterial small subunit ribosomal RNA", at positions 118 to 351 of the family's 1533-position model. The record is from RNAcentral.